AGGGCACCACCAGGAGUGGAGCCUGCGGCUUAAUUUGACUCAACACGGGAAAUCUCACCAGGCCCGGACACCGGAAGGAUUGACAGAUUGAGAGCUCUUUCUUGAUUUGGUGGAUGGUGGUGCAUGGCCGUUCUUAGUUGGUGGAGUGAUUUGUCUGGUUAAUUCCGAUAACGAACGAGACUCUAGCCUAUUAAAUAACACACAGAAUCUUGUCUUCUGUGGCGUUUCUUAAUGGGAUCAAGUGUGUUUAACGCUUUGAAACAGAGCAAUAACAGGUCUGUGAUGCCCUUAGAUGUUCGGGGCCGCACGCGCGCUACAUUGAGAGACAAAAUGAGUUUUCUAGCCUUUAAUAAGGCUAGUAAUCUUUGAAUGUUUUUCUUAAUGGGGAUAGGGGAUUGCAAUUGUGCCCCUUGAACGAGGAAUUCCCAGUAAGUGCUAGUCAUUAGCUAGUACUGAUUACGUCCCUGCCCUUUGUACACACCGCCCGUCGCUACUACCGAUUGAAUGGUUUAGUGAGAU
Molecule: ribosomal RNA, 519 nt
Filed under: uncultured eukaryote
Lineage: Eukaryota
Description: SSU rRNA
Rfam family: Eukaryotic small subunit ribosomal RNA
Source: RNAcentral